GACGAACGCUGGCGGCGUGCUUAACACAUGCAAGUCGAGCGGUAAGGCCCUUUCGGGGGUACGACGAGCGGCGAACGGGUAGAGUAACACGUGGGUGACCUGCCCUCAGCUCUGGGAGUAAGCCUGGGAAACCGGGUACUAAUACCGGAUAUGACUCCAUGACGCAUGGUUGUGGGGUGGAAAGCCUUGUGCGGCUGAGGAUGGGCCCGCGGCCUAUCAGCUUGUUGGUGGGGUGAUGGCCUACCAAGGCGACGAC
This 256-nucleotide ribosomal RNA is filed under the name uncultured bacterium. RNAcentral's name for it is "partial 16S ribosomal RNA". It matches the Rfam family "Bacterial small subunit ribosomal RNA", at positions 28 to 280 of the family's 1533-position model. The record is from RNAcentral.